CAAUGUAUUUACAAAUGGCAAAGGUGACAGAGAGCAACAAUUUCACCUCUGGUUUGACCCCACUGCUGACUUUCACACCUAUUCUAUCCUCUGGAAUCCUCAGCGCAUUAUGUAAGCAAUAUUUUCCUUCAAUCUCCAUCGUUUGUUUUUUCCUUGUCGUUCAAUCUGCUUAGACUUAUCAAUGUUUACUUAAUUUUCAGCUUCUCUGUUGAUGGCACCCCAAUAAGAGAAUUUAAGAACUCAGAGUCAAUUGGCGUUCCAUUCCCAAAGAAUCAGCCAAUGAGAAUAUACUCUUCUCUUUGGAAUGCUGAUGACUGGGCCACAAGAGGUGGCCUCGUGAAGACAGAUUGGACGCAUGCUCCUUUCACUGCUUCCUACAGAAACUUUAAUGCUGAAGCUUGUGUUUGGUCUAAUGGAAAAUCUUCUUGCGCUUCAAAUUCUGCUUCCUCUACAUCCAGCAACGGUGCUUGGUUCUCACAAGAGCUAGAUUCAACAAAUCAAAAUAGGCUGAAAUGGGUGCAGAAGAAUUACAUGAUUUACAAUUACUGCACUGAUACAAAGAGAUUUCCUCAGGGCCUUCCUGCAGAAUGCAGAAUCUCCUAGAGAAAAUAAUCAACAAGACACUUAAAAAUUAUUUUAUUCUUUCGUGUAAUCAUUCAAUGGUUAUUCAAUUCAUGUAGAUUCUGGAGUCAGAUUCUUUGUUUCUCUGUAAUCAAUAAAAUGGCAUGUUAGUCCAAUUUUUACCAUAUGUAACACUGGUUAAUGAAUUUAAAAAAGGAUAAUGUUAUGCGUACUUGCGUGGUAUACAAAUUAAGUAUGCUAACUAAGUAAACAUAAUAUUACUAUUUCAAAAGAUUUUGUUCUUCUUUGUUGUUAUUCUUCGUAAGCUUUAGCAUAUAGUUAUAAGCCUAAUUAAAGGUAUUGACAUGAUGACUCAUUAAUAAAGCUUUUAGACCCUAGAUUGGAAUAUGAAGAAUUAUCGAGGAAGCAUGAAGAUAAAAGAGCAAAUGAGUCUCCACCAGAAUGAGAAGAAAAUGUACUGCGCGUGGGCGUUACCGUAUUUGUGUCAAUCGAGGAGAAAUUUUGGCCAUUGAUUAGUAUUUGAUAAGGCAGUAAAAGGGUAAAAUGGCAAAAAUAAAAUUAAAAAAACUAACCGAGUGAACUUACACAAGUCGAUGAGGAAGAGUGAUGCAUACCGUUAUUGGAUGAGGAAUGUGCUUGUUAAUUAACAAUGAGAGAUUGAUAGGAGGACAAGGUGCGAGCCAGCUCUCGAGUGUUGAUAUUUCAAGGCGAGCCAACCUCGCCAUGCCACCACCGCCUUUCCAGUUAAACAAAUAAAACAUUCUCUAGUAUAAGUGGUAGUAUACAAAACAGCAAAAUCUUCAGUCCGUUCGAUUUAAAUACCAAUAUCUAUAAAUUCCUUAAUAAUAAUAAUAAGCAUAUCUUCCAAUUCCAUAUGCGUUUUAUUACACAGGAAAUCACCAGGAAGUAUGUGUUAUCAAUUAACCUAAAAUUAGGAUACAAAUUCACAGUUUCAUGUUACUAGGAAGCAUCUGUAUCGGAAAUAUAGGGAUACAUAUUUCUUAGAUGUUAGAUCCAUGUUUCAUGUUAGGGACUCCAGUAAAGACUUGUCUUUAAUUUUCUUGGGUCAAGCCAUUUUCGUUUUUACAUAGCAAAGGUUUCUUGUUCAAAUCUCAGCGUGCUCAAUUUUUUGCGAAUAACACACGUAUAUGUUUCAAUUCUUGUAUGUUCAAGAACCUCUAAUUCAAUCUCCUAUCUCCGCUUUUGGAACGACAUGACCUUCAAACUGGAUCCAUGUUUCACACGGGCAGGUCUUUCAACACUUUAAUGCUAUUUUCUGGACUCCUGUUUAACGUCUUAAGCUUUUGAACCAAAUGAUUUCCUGAUAAUAAAUAUAGUUAUAAAAAAAAAUCUGUUAAUUAAGUACGUCAUUGAACAAUUUUUUUUCUUUUUCUUUUGAGCAUAAAAUGGAAAAAAAAAAUCUCGAGAGAGAAGAGCACCCAGUGAAUUCUACAUUUUCUUUUUUGUGUUUUGACUGGCGGUGGUUGGAAAAAAAAAAAAAUCUAAUAAGAGUCAGCCGGUGGUGGGAACAGAACAGCAGUACAUAAUAAGUACUUGAGUCUCAAAAGUAAUGCAAAGCCGCGUAUUGUAAUAAAAAAAAAAGUCCCUGUUGUAGCGUGUUCUGUUAGUGCGAUUCGGACAGCUGUUUUUAUUUCAUCACGCUAUUUUACGCAAACAACUGGCCACAGCUGAAGCUGAACUAACUGGAGCUUCCCAUUACUUUCCUCUGCUUUCGUUAUACUCACCUUCACCAGCUCAAUCAAGCUAUAAAUACCAAACCCUGGUGAGAUCCCAAACACACUCAUCGCUUCACUUUCAAAAAUUUCAAACUUCUCUCCAACUCAAAUUCUUCUAUCUUGUUGUUGCUCAGACGAAAGCUUCCAUGGCUUCAGUAUUGCAUCUGUCGCUGCUGCUUCUUGGCUCUUUGAUGGUUGCCUCUGCUGGUAACUUCCACCAAGAUUUUGAUAUCACUUGGGGAGACGGGCGUGCUAAUAUACUCAACAACGGCCAGCUUCUUACUCUUUCCCUUGAUAAAGCCUCUGGCUCCGGCUUCCAGUCCAAGAAUGAGUAUCUAUUCGGCAAGAUUGAUAUGCAACUCAAACUAGUCCCUGGCAACUCUGCCGGCACUGUCACUGCUUAUUAUGUAAGUUCCUGCCUUUAUAUGAAUAAACAAUAUGCAUGUUUGAUCAUCACCCUUUAUAUGAAUAAACAAUAUGCAUGUUUGAUCAUCAUGUAUCUGACAUAUAGACCUUUGAUUUUUUGUUCACGCAGUUAAAAUCGCCAGGAUCAACAUGGGAUGAGAUAGACUUCGAGUUCUUGGGGAAUUUAAGUGGUGACCCUUACACUCUGCAUACCAAUGUAUUCACAAAUGGCAAAGGUGACAAAGAACAACAAUUUCACCUCUGGUUUGACCCCACUGCUGACUUUCACACCUAUUCUAUCCUCUGGAAUCCUCAGCGCAUUGUGUAAGCAAUAUUUUCCUUCAAUCUCCAUCAUUUCUUCUUUCCUUGUCAUUCAAUCUGCUUAGACUUAUCAAUGUUUACUUAAUUUUCAGCUUCUCUGUGGAUGGUACUCCCAUAAGAGAGUUCAAGAACUCAGAGUCAAUUGGAGUUGCAUUCCCAAAGAAUCAGCCAAUGAGAAUAUACUCAUCUCUCUGGAAUGCUGAUGACUGGGCUACAAGAGGUGGCCUUGUCAAGACAGAUUGGACGCAUGCUCCCUUCACGGCUUCCUACAGAAACUUCAACGCUGAUGCCUGUGUCUGGUCUAAUGGAAAAUCUUCUUGCGCUUCAAGUUCACCUUCCUCUCCAUCCAGCAGCAGUGCCUGGUUCUCACAAGAGCUUGAUUCAACAAGUCAAGAAAGGCUGAAAUGGGUGCAGAAGAAUUACAUGAUUUACAAUUAUUGCGCUGAUGCAAAGAGAUUUCCCCAGGGACUCCCUGCAGAAUGCAGAACCUCUUAGAAGUUUUGCAAAAUCAACACAUACAUCAAAAAAAUUUAUUCUUUUUGUCAAUUCUUUGAUUCUUUGUUGUAUUUUGUCGUCAAUAAAAUGGCAAAUUAGUCCAACUUUCUCAAUGUAAUACAAAAUUUAGCAUAUAAAUAUCAUGAGAUUAUGUUCUCUACUCUUCGCAUGCUUGCUAUAUGUUCUUCUUUGGCUAGGUUUUAACGUAGAAACGACCAAACCUCUUCACAUAUGCAAUGGUACUCUAAAUUUUUGACUGACUUAACGGGUAAGGACUAGCAAAAUAUUCUAUUGCCAUUAAAACGACUUCUCUCAUUUGGGACUUUUAUCAAACAUCUUGCAAGCAAACGAUUAAAAUUCACCGACACCCACUCCGAGAUUUUUUUUUUAAUGUCCUGUUAAAAUAGUACACCCAACAGUAACAUGACAAUAAAAAGAUAAAUCAAGAACAAAUACAAUCACAAUUGUAUCCAGUUAUUUAAUUCUUAUAUUCAUCUUUGAUUCUUUCAUGUAGUAUUCAUGCAUGUUCACAAAUUUAGGAUCCAAGCUUUAUGGCAUUUUGGGAUUGAGCAUCUUCUUGAUUGGGGGCGUGAACGGUUAAUACACCUAAUAAUUGCAACCUUUGGUUUUCUCAAUCAAAUAAUAAUAAUAAUAACAUAAAGGGACUUGGAUGUAAAUAGAACAUACAGUAUGGACGUCCGACGUCCCCAGAUUUUACAUUUUUGGUGAAUUUCAACAAUUACCAAAAAGAUCAAAUAAUAAUAAUAAUAAUAAAUGAAAAGAUAUAUAUUUAUUUCUAAAAGAACAUUAACUAAGCUCACCAUGUUUGUUAAAUUUGUCAAUUAUCAACAUUUAUGCUAUACAAAUCACAAACUUCAUAACUGAUUCAAGUCAUAUAUUAAUGCAACAAAUAAAAAAAUAUAAUAAAUUUAAAAAAUAAUAAUAAUAAAUUAAAAUAGAAAAUUAGAACGAUAGCACGUAAAAGGUUGAUUAGUUGAGAUGAAUAUGAUAGUCAAAUGUUAGAUGCUGGCAAUGAAGUUUAUAGGGAAGAUUAGAAUAAUAUUCCGAGUAGAUAUGAGAGAAAUUUUUUUUGGGUGAGUAUCAUUGAUUCAAUAUCUAUUAGUUUUGAAGUUUGAAAUAGAAUGAAUAGAAUACUAGAUGUUUUAAAAUCUAACAUUUAUAAUUUUAAUAGAGUAGUUAUUUUUGGGAAAGGGAAAACGUUGAAUUUUUUUCUUGUAAUUAUUAACCAAAUAAAGUUUCAAAGGCUUAGAAUAAUUAUUAUACCAUAAAUAUCACAUUUUUAUAAAAAAAAUUAUUUUUAAAGUAAAGAUUAUUAAAUAUAGAGAUAAUUAUGAAUGAGAAUAAUAAUAGGGAGAUUCCUAAAAAUUAAAUUUUCCUUCAAUAUAUACGCAACUUUAAAAAAUUAGAAUCUUAAAAUAAAUAUUAUUAUUAUGUUAAUAAAUAGCUAUUCAAAAUACAAAACCAGCCGACUACCUAAUUCGGAUAGUGCUAAAGGCAUCCCUCACUACUAAUUAGCUUACAUUUUAUCAUUUAAUGUUAUGUUAUACAAGACAGCUCCUGUACCUAGGCGCUAAAGUUUUUGGAACAGCCAGCUUUAAUGGACAGCGCAUUCUUUGGGAAAGCCCUGGGGAAAUCGCUUGGUGUCAGUGCAGUAAUUGUAAAUCAUGUGAUUCUUCCGCACCCAGUAAAGCCUCCGUUGGUUUGUGGAAUCCAUUUGUUGCAAGAGCCAGGCACGGCUACCAUCAACCUUGAAAUUUCUGUAAGAAGCAGUGAAAGGAGCUUGGCUCCAAUCCGUCUUGAUUAGCCCACCUCUUGUAGCCCAGUCAUCAGCAUUCCAAAGAGAUGAGUAUAUUCUCAUUGGCUGAUUCUUUGGUAAUGGAACGCCUAUAGCCUCCAGGUUUCUGAACUCUCUAAUUGGAAUACCAUCAACAGAGAAGCUGAAAUAAUGCAAUUAAUUGAACAACACAAGUCAAUAAAAUUGUAGAAGCGAAUGACAUACUAAUAAGAGAGAAAUGGACUUUACACAAUGCGUUGAGGAUUCCAGAGAACUGAAUAAGUGUGAAAGUUGACUGUGGGGUCAAACCAGAGAUGAAAUUGCUGCUCUCUGUCACCCUUGCCUUGGCUGUACACAUUUGUGUGAACUGUGUACGGAUGACCACUGAGGUUUCCCAAGAAUACAAAGUCUAUCUCAUCCCAUGUUGGUCCUUGUGAGCGUAGCUACAACAUCAAAGACUCUCAUAAUUAAUAUUAAUUAGCAUCAUUACAAAGAAAUCAAUGAAAACAGCAGGUGUUGAUAAAAAGAAAAGCGUACAUAAUAAGCAGUGACAGUGCCAGCAGAGUUGCGAGGGACAAGCUUGAGUUGCAUAUCAAUCUUGCCGAAUAAGUAUUGUUUCUUGGACUGGAAGCCUGAGCCAGAGUAAUGGUCGAGAUUGAGAGUAAGCAGUUGGCCGUUGUUGAAUAUUUUCCCAUGACCAUCUCCCCAUGUGAUAUCAAAUUCCUCAUUGAAAUUACCAGCAGAAACAGCAGCUAAACGCCCAACAAAAGUACACAUCAUCACCCCAAACGAAUCAGAACCCAUAUCUUUCAGGAUUUUGGGAUCUGGAGCUCGCUAUACUGAAUAGUGCAUAAAUUAUUACUAGUUUUGCAUGGAUGUAAUGUAAUAUUAUAUAGGGGAUUGGAGUAUAGAAAUGGACAAAAGAGAGUGAAGAAGAGGGUGCGUUUGGAUGGUUGUUUCAUGUUUGCCGUUUCUGAGAGUGCAAAGUUGUCAACAGCUGGCUGUGCCAUGAAUUGAAAGAGAGGCAAAUUUGGCUGUUUCUCAUUUGCAGACAGAUUAUAUGACAUGGCCCCAAAUUCCAAAUGGGGUUCGGUGCCUGCAUGCAUACCCACUUGAUCUUGAAUUGCGAUCAUGAUUAUCCGGUACUCGCACAUAUCUAUGUAGAUACGGGUUUAGGUUGUACUUUUGCUUCUGCCGAUUCCACCACCACAGUCCUUGGGGCUCAAUCCCGCGUCAAAUUCUUUCAAGCAUUUGACAGACGGUCGGUUAGUCAUUGUCGUACUUGUGAACAGGAUCAGGUCAAGGAACGGGGGUCCAUUAGAUGACUACGAUACAAAAGGCCAGCUGGUGAUAUAUCAUCUAAAACAUUGUUACUCGAACACAAUCUAUCCUUGAAAAUAAACCAGAAUAUCAUCCUUCUAUUGAAAUGCUGUCAAAUACAUUGUUGCCCACUUUCCAUUAAUUACCUCGAGGGUUGGGGAACAGAUUAUGUUGUAUUGUAUUCGUUCUCUUGGUUUGUACUUUUUAAUUUUCUUGCAACAGUAAGCCGAGAUAAAGAGAUUUGAUUCUUUAUUUAAACAAAAAAAGGAGAGAAACCAGAAUGUAGGUCCAAAGAAUAAUGACAGUUGAGUACGAAGUCUGUUCAUGCAACCCACAAAUUGAUUCAUAAAAUUUUUUUAACCUUUCUUAUAACAUGCAGUAGUCUUUUUAUAGUGUGGACAUCCUUAUUUUAUUUUCAUGCGAAUAUACUUUAAAACCGUAGAAUUUAAGAAAAUUAACUUUUAACUCACUUAAGCCCUACGAUUUUACAGUUCAUUUAAAAACUAAAUCUUUUAAACAACACAGUAUAAAAGUGUAUCCGUAUUAAAAAAAAUACGGCGUCCACACCUGAGAAUGAUUAUAACAUGCAGUAUCCCAAAAAAAAUUGGUAUUAAUUUCAAGACAUUCAAAGUGUCAGUUCAAACAUAUUGUAAAGGAAAUUACACUUUAACACUCUCUAGCACUCUCUUCCAGCAUCUUGGCUGAAGCUUUCUCAAAAGACCCUGGCCGGCUUUGCCUUAAUAAACAAGUCGUUGAGGCAAAUUAGGACAUUGUUGGCGCAUGCUUUGGGUUCAGUGAUUAGUUAAUUACGUAUUAUAUAACUCGUCUUUCUUAACACUUGGUGACAUGUUUCCUGUGAGCAGUAUCAUAACGGUAUAAAUUUUCAAUGUAAUAUACAAUCUCCCCAUGCAUGGGCGGCUACAUGUGACUUGGAUAAAAGCCAUGGCGAAAUGAGAUUAUGGAUUGCUCUGCAUGAGUUAGGAAAGAAAAUUCUUAGGGUAAUUGAACACUGAACAAAAUCUGAAUAUUGUUCGAUUUGAGGAAAACAAUCAACUUUGUUAAAUUUUUUGCAGUUAUCUUUGGAAGAAGUUUGGGAUACUUAUGCAAAUCAUAAAUGGCCCAUUAGAGCUCGGCCUGCAAGGUUCAUGAUUCUUGAACUAAUUUCAUUUGGGCCUAGCAGGGACCUGAUGAGUCCUUAAUAUCAAUACCUACCCAUUUCUUCUUGAUAAUUGGCAUAUAUAAUAAGGGUAAAUAAUAUAUUAUAUUACUUUGUAGAAUAAUUAUCUAAUGAUGAGGAUGCCAACCGAAGUCCAAAAUGAAAAAAUAAAAAGAAAAAUGAAUUUUGAUGAAACCAUCCUACAUCAUUUAUUACUAUUAUUUAGAUGCAUCAAGUGGGAAGCGAUAUUCUUAUGUUAUAUGAUUGAUGGCAAUCAAGAAACCCUAUUGAGAAAAGUAGAAGAAAGAAUAAAAAUAUAAUUGAAAUACGAAUUUCCAAACACUGAAUGGAUUAGAAAAGAUUCAUCGUCCUAAUUUUUGUUGGUGCAUUCUUGGGGGAGGCACUGAGGGAACCAACUUGUGUCUGCGCAAUAAUUGUAAACCAUGUAAUUUUGCUGCACCCAUUUUAGCUUCCUUUGGCUUGAAGAGUCGAGCUCCUGUGAAAACCAUGUAUUUUUAGUUGCGGGAUUCGAGCUGCAAGAAGAUAUUCCGAUGGACAAAACACAAGCUUUUGCAUUGAAGUUUCCGAAGGAAGCAGUGAAGGGAGCCUGAGACCAGUCUGUUUUCGCCAGGCCCCCUCUUGUAGCCCAGUCAUCGGCAUUCCACAGGCUAGCAUACAUUCUCAUUGAUUGUUUUUUGGGAUACGGAAUGCCGAAUGAUUCGAGAUUCUUGAAUUCUCUGAUGGGUCUGCCAUCGAUAUAGAAGCUGAACAAAAAGAAAAUGUAAUAAAAAGUUAAUGCGAGCUUGAUAAAAUUAAAUCCAGGAUUCGAAUUUCGCUCACAUCAGGGUUGUGUAUGUACUAACACAAUGUGACCUGGAUUCCAGAGGAUUGAAUAAGUGUGAAAAUCGGCAGUGGGAUCAAACCAGAGGUAGAAUUGUUGCUCUCUGUCACCUUAUCCUUGUGUGUAGACAUUUGUGUGAACAAUGUAAGGGUUGCCACUCAAAUUCCCCAGGAAUUCGAAGUCUAUUUCAUCCCAUGAUGCCCCUGGAGAUUUUAGCUGCACCAUAGCAAGUCUACGUAUCAACAUAAUGAUGUGACGACUGACAAACAAAUUAUAUGUGAAAGGGAAAAAGAAUCUUUCAUUAAGGAGCUUACAUAGUAGGCAGUGACAGUGCCAGCAGAGUUGUUGGGAACAAGCUUGAGCUGCAUAUCAAAUUUUCCAUAGAAAAAUUCAUUCUUAGACUGGAAGCCAGAGCCAGAUGCUUUGUCGAGAGACAGAGUAAGAAGCUUGCCUUUGUUGAGAAUCUUGGCACGUCCAUCACCCCAUGUAAUAUCAACAUCUUUGUUAAAAUUACCAGCAUUUGCAACAAUGAAAGAGCUUGUGACAAUAAAAGAGAACAAGAAAAUUGGAUAAGAAGAAUAAGAAUAGCAAGGCAUUGACUUCGGGAACGUUAUGCAACUUAGUUUGACACACUUGAGAAUACUGAGUUCCAGGCUAUUUAUUGGAGCUGCUGGUUAGUGCAUCGAAUGUUCGCCAAAUAUUGAAAUGUAUAGUUGGUUGGUGGGGUGAGUUGAGAACUGAACAGCUGGAUAGCAAAAACAAGUGCACAUUGAAAAUGGGCAUCUUUGUCAUAACUUUAAGCCAGUCAAAUUGCUUGCGGGCAUUAUUUUACAGGAGAGAUGAGCAUAGUUGCUACUUGCUUCCUAGGUUAUUUCCACCUACUCCUGAGCAUUUGGCAUAUCCACCGACAAAUAAUGCGAUGCCACUUCCAUGAAAAUUUGUUUUCUAGUAUGUUCUAGUGGACACCCAGAAGUUGCCAGAUCAAAGAGAAAUGGUUUUGGAUUUACUAUAUUGUAGCAUUAGAUUUCCCCACUUCCCUCUUAGGAUUCUGAAAACAUCGAGGGAGACCAUGAAAGUUUUUAAGGCUGAAAAAAUAGGGCAUACCCCAUGGAAAAUGUAAUAGCAUUAUAUAUAUCCAGAAGAAACAGCAGCUGCCAGAAGCUUGUAACCCUAUGUCAACAAAAUAUAAAGUAACCAAAUGGGCAACUCAUAACCAUUAUAAUUGAACCAAAAGAAUUUCAACUGGAUCCCCCAUGGCAUAUAUCAAAACAAACCAAAAAUCUAUACUUUUAAUGACAUAGGAAGCGGGAAUAAUAUUUAUGAAUCAGUGUGAUUUAUAAAAGGAUAGCCACAUCCACCUUAUUUAAAAAUUUGCAUGGCAAUCAAGACAAAUUUAAAAUCUAUCAACAUGAGGCACUUGCAAAGUGAGAGAAAUUGGGUCCACAACUAAAAUAGAAGAUAGAGUCCUCUAAGAAAAUAAUCCAUUAAUCGUCCUAGAGAAAAAUCUAUGGAAAUGUUCACGUCAAGCACAAAGUUAGUAGUAACUAUGACUACGUUUUCAAUCAACAAAUCUGUCAAAGCCAGUCAUCAUCGAUCAUCGAAGGAUAAAAAAAUGGCAGAGUUAGAAUUUCCGGGAGUUAUGAUAAUCCGGAUCAAAGCAAUUGUCGUCAGAAGGGUCCUUCAAAAAAUCAUCCGGGGGACAUUCAUUUAACUGUUCAAAUUUCAUAUCGCUCUCCAAACCUUGAAAUGGUCUUGCUGCUGCAGCUGAUGAUGAUUCUGCCACUUGAUUAGAAGUAGCAAACAUAUGAUGAUGAGGAUAUGUCUGGAAAGGUCUUGCUGCUGCUGAUGAUGAUAUUUCUGCAGGUUGAUUAGGAUUCCGAUUUGAAGUAGCAAACAUAUGUUGAUGAGGAUAUGCCUGGAAAGGUCUUCCCCUUGCUGCUGCUGAUGAUUCGGCAGCUUCAUUAGGAUUCUGAUUAGCAGUCGGAAUCAUUAUAUGUUGAGUCCAUGGAGAGCUCUGCCCCAUAGAAUUGUUAUACGAAUAAGGAGCAAUUGUAGGGAACCUCCCCUGAGAAACUGAAACUGAAACAUUUUGAUUUGUCAUUCCAGGGAACCUUCCUUGAGAAUCUGAAACAUUGUGAUUAGCCAAUCGAGGGAGCCUUCCUUGAGAAUAGGGAACAUUGUGAUUAGGCAUUCCAGUGACCCUGCCUUGAGCAUAUGGAACAUAGUAAUUAGGCAUUUCAGGAACCCUGCCUUGAGAAUAUGGGACAUUGUGAUUAACAAAGUGGCUCUGAUGAUAAAUGAAAGUAUCAUCAUAUGAAUUGAGAAAUCCUCCCUGAUUGUAGAAACCAGACAUAUCAAUGAUUCGAGGACCUUCAGGACCGUGAGGCAUGAAAGUUUCAUUGGGCAGCGUAGCAGAGUCUUCAACUCCCAUAUCAAUGGCUCCAUUAUCCUGAAAUUCAGUGUCUGAUUGUGGAUCAUCUUGGCCUGAAAUUGAAUCAUCCUGUCGCGAAGUUGAAGGUCUUGAAGACGACAGCUUAGAUCUAUCCUGGUCCCUUUUCUUAUAUAUCUUACACAGUACCCAAUCAUCUAACUGCAAUCAACAUAAUAUAUAAAAGCAAAACUCAUCAGCAAACCAACAUUGUAAAAUUGCUGCAACACAUCACAUAUGACACAGAAAGAAGCUACAAAAUUUAGUUACCCUCAUGUCAUCUCCACUGAUUCUGGUCCUUGGAGGACCCUCCAAUCUAAAUUCAUGCAUUAUCCAUUCAGUUUUAUCUCCCCUUGGGGGUUUUCCCAUGUAGAAGACCAAUGCCUUCUUGAAUCCAACGACAACGUCGUCGUUUUUGAUAGGUUUGUCAGCUCCAGUUGCCUUCCAGAAUCCAUCUCCAGCAGCUCUAUUGGGUCUUGUCCCGUUUUUGUACUUUCUCUCUCUUGGAGUAAAAAAGUACCAUUCAUUCUCACCAAACGGCUUAUACUUUUCUGUGCAUUAUUAAUACAGAAUCAUCAUUGUAUCAAUCACCCAAAAAAAAAAAAAAGAUCUACACUUCCUGAUUCCAUUAUAUGGAAUACGGAAUAAUAUCAACAUAAAUAUUUAUAGUCUUUGUUUUGGAUACAUACAAGCACCAAACUACGAGACCAUAUGUAGAAAAUUAAAUCAGCAUUCAACAACGCAAAGAAGUAACUUUUAACUCAAGAAACUGAAGAGCAGACCAUUUUAUUUCAAGAAACUCAAGAAAUGCCCACUCCAAUUACAAAUGAACUCAAGAAAAGCGCUAAGAGCAUUACCAAAGUACGAAAACAAAUCAAAUUAUGAGACUAUAUGUAUAACGAACGCAAAGGAAACACUUCUAACUCAAGAAACUAAACCAUUUCAAGAAACUCAAGAAGUUACACUCUAAUUAAUAACCAAAUGAACUCAAGAAAAAGAAAGAACUUAAUAUGCGUAAGUGCAUUACUUAAUUUAAAGAAAAAUACCAGCAAGGCAAUUGCAAAAAAACAAAAGAAACAAAAAAGAGAAAUGGGGUGGUGGGUAUUUUUAACCUGAAAGUGUAUCAGGAUUAAAUUUGUACAAGUGAACUUCCUUAAUCCGAUUUGGUGGCAAAGGUUCAUUCAUUCUCUUCCUCCGCAAGUAAUGAACUAGAAGCUCUAUGUCGUGAGGCUUGAACCUGUAACCAGGAGGAAAGUUAUCAUCGAACUCAGGACCCUUAGCAGCAUUCAUCCGAUUCCGCACAGGUGGUGAAGCAUCACGAGUAUGAUCUAUAGGCCUUUUUCCUUUAGGGCCUUGGCCAUUAGGGUUUUUACCAUUGCGGUCUUGGCCGUUAGGGUCUUGGUCCUUAUCUCCCUGCUGCUGGUCCGGCAUUGAUAACUUUUACCGAAACUUGAAGGAGACGCUGCUUUCCCUAUAAAAUUGACCUCACAAGAAUAUUUGUUGUGAUCAGAUACAUCAAGAAUAUUUGUUGUGAUCAGAUGCAUGGGGGCUGUUAGGGCCCUAAUAGUUUAUUUUAUUUUAAUUGCUUGUUUUAAUUUCUUUCCUAUUAGUAUUAGCUUUUCUUAUUUCAAUUAAAGUCCUUAUUAAAUUACAAUUAGGAUUGUCUUGAACUACUAUAAGUAAGUGGUUCUUAUUAUGUUUUUAGGACGCAAGUAAUAAAAUUAAUUUUAAUUCCUAUUAAUUCUUCUCCCUUCUCUUUAACUUCUUCAUCUAUUCUCUCUUAAUUCUCUAAUCAAAACCCUAGAAUCCUAUUAGGGGCUUAUUUUAUACUAAUUUAUUUGGAUUAUAUAACAUUAAAUAAAGUAGAUACUUUUUCUAACUGAUCGGUUUAUCAAACGGUUUUCGGAAGGCGAUUUAUCCUUUGGAUUCAGUUAAGAUGCCAAUCUAUCGGUGGUCAAUGAUUUGAUGGUUAUGAUUGAGUUCAAUGAUUCCAGAAUGUGUGCUUUAGUAGCUGUCAUUGAAGCUGAUGUGGCGAAAUAUGAUAGUUUCUGCUGAUGUAGUUGAUUGAGAAGCAGUAAAAUUCUUCAAAGUAGAAGUAGAAUAGAAGUUAUUUCACUGCCUUAUCUUUUAGCAAAAUGAGAGAAUAUAGGAUAGCUUCUUGUUCAUUUAAUGCAAUCCUUAGCAUAAUCCGACAUAUUUGCUCCUUUCCAGCACUGUAGCUGCAGUAGUUCCGCGGAAUUUAAAAAAAAAAAAUCGAUACAUGAACAAGAGGGACAAACGAUAUAACCCGGUUUUCUAUUUUUAUUAACAUAUUUUUAGUUCUCCAAAUUGAUCUUACAUUAGCUAUAUACAUAAUUUAAUGUAAUUCUCGAUAAAUAGUUGGUGCAUGUAAUUUCAUAAAUAUAUAUUUCAAUCGAGUUAACUUAAUAAUAGGGAUGAAAAUGAAGAAUUAGGAGGUCUAGUAUGGAUUAUUUUGCAGGUGGCACUACAAGGAGGAGGAGUUUUAUGUGAUCACUCCGCAGUCACAAAUGACCUUUUUGUGACUGCUUUGUGGCAGUAACAAAAAGUCAUUAACGCAGGCGUCCCGAAAGUUUUGUUACCGCAUAGUCGCAUACUUUACUCCAGCCUGUUUUCUGCAGUUAUGUCCUUGCAGGGCGUUUAUGGGCAAUUUUGUCAUCCAAAAUAUUGAGUAAAUAUGUUAAGAACUUGGCCCAAAAAUUAACUCGCACGGCCCAGUAUGAGUGCUGUGGUUGGACUAACCCCGGCAUCCGAAUUAAUUUUCCACAUUAAAAUUUUGGAAAAAAAGAAAAAGAAAAAGAAAUUGAACAUGUUUCCUCCCAAGGAACUUGUUAAUUGAUGGCAGUCGAUUCUGACUGCAUUUUCUCACAACUUCGUUCUCAAACAUUUCAUAUGCGAAUUGUGGCUGGGAUCUGAUAUUAAUUUAUUAAGUUUGGAAUUUAGUUUGUAGUAAGAUAACAUUUUUUUUUAAAGUCUGAAAUUAGAAUGAAUCUGAAUUUUUCAGAAGUUUGAAUGGAUUUAAAUAAAAAAAAAUUGAAUGAAACGUUUAGAUUUCUUUUUUUUUUUUAAUAUAUGAGUAUAAAUGACAUCUUAUUUGUUUUUAUAACAAAAAAAAAAGGUUUUAAACUUGAUUCUUUGAUAAUUAUAUCCUCAUAAAUUAAAACAAAAAAGGAUUAGAUCUUAUAGUUGAGGAAAUAAACUAUUUUAUACAGAUAUUUUUGGAAUAUAAUAUUUAUUUUUCAUGCAAACCUUUUCCAUUCAAAUAAAAGAUAUAAAAAUUUAUUUUUUCCAUUCAAAUGUAAAUAUCUAAAAAUCAGACAUAAAUCACAAAAACAAAUAACAAACUUCUAACGUUUGAUAAACAAUCUCUAAGUUAUAUUUUCUCGUGCAUUGAUCAGAGAAAAUGCAUAUGACAUUUGCUAAAGGAAACUCAAAAAGGUUUUAAGCUUUUAACAUUACUUUCAAAGGCCAUUCUGCAGCUCCGUUAGUUCAUCAUAUCACACGGCUUCAUAAUUUCUAUAGAUUGAAUUGAGUUUCUUGUUUCUCCAACUCAAAUUUUUAGUCUCCUUUAUGAUAGGGUUGUGGUGGUAGGGAUAAAACAUUGCGCUCUAUCUUAAAGAAUAUUUAGUUAUGAACAUCUAAAGAGAUCGAGGAGAAAAAUUUAUCUCAAAAUGACAAAAAGAAGAAAAAAUAAAAGUACAUCGGAGGUACAUCGUUCAUAAAGAAUUUAAAAAUCAUAGAGCUUCAACAAUAUAUAGUAGCCGUGCAGUUUAUGCUCCUUUUUGUGAUAUAUAUGGCUUAUUACAUUCAUAACAAAUUGUUCCGUUACAUUUUUUCUAUUGGGAUUUAAGGAAAAAAAAUUCUGAAAACAGCUCUUGAAUUGGAAUUAAGAGAGAUAAAAGAAACAACUCAAGCUUUGAGGCAAACAAAGAAUAUGAUCGUCACGUAAAUAAUUUGGUAUUCUAGGAAACUAUGUAUAUAAUUUUAGUGAUUAGAAAAUCUUGUUCAAAGAGCGUUACAACUGAAAACUGUGAGAAAUAAUCAGUUGUACUGUCAAAGUUGAGUUACAAAUAUUUUAAAUAUUUUGAUAAUGGUAACAGAAUUAGUACCAAAAAGCUAAAGCAAAUGGAGCCUUAGCAUACCACCCAUAGAAAUAGCAACUCUCCUUGAAUAUCCAUGCUGCUGACAUUCAUAUAAAUAACAAUCAAAGUACACAGAAUUGCAAGAAAAAUUGAGUUCAAGAAAACCGACCUCUACUAAAGUACACUCUAACUAACUUAUUAUAAAUGCCAAUUAAUGUCAGCUACCAUUAACUAAUCGAAUCACAAAAUGAAAAGAGUUAUAAGUUCGUAAAAUUAUGAGGUAGAGGAUCAAAACAAUUGUCUUCCGAAGGGAGAUCACUAAACACAUCAUCGGGCGGAUAUCCGAACUGUUCAGGCUUCAUAGGGCUCUCCCACGUAGGAUUAUGAUGGAGCAUUUGCUGAAACCCCGACUGAGGGAUUAAAGGAAGCCAAUUCUGAGAAUUACCCUGAUGACCAUCCUGAAAAUUAGCAUAUGGACUCUGACAAGAUAAAAGGACAUUAUCAUAUGCGCUGAAGAAUCUUCCCUGGUUGUAGUAAUCAGGCACAUCAAAGAUUCCAAGGCCUUCAGGCUUGAAAUUUUCUGUUUUGGGCAGCAUUUUAGCCUUUUCAUCAACUGAAGUUUGUCCACUAUCUUGAGAUUGAGUUGCAACUUCGCUUCUUGAUUGUUGAUCCUCCUCUGAAUCCUCUCGUUUUCGAGUAGAAGCUUUGGCUGACUGCUUUGUUUUCUUAUAGAUCCUACAGAGAACCCAGUCAUCUAACUGCAAGGGACUUGUAUGAAGCAGAAAUUAGUCGAAUAAAACCAAAAAAAAGAAUCAAAUAAAAAUGAAUUUGGACAACAAGGAAAAUCAUUUACCCUCAUAUCAUUUCGGCCUUUUUGUUUCUGUGGUGGAUUAUUCACUAUGUAUUCAUGCAUGAUCCAGUUAGUCUUAUCACCCUUUGGAGCUUUUCCCUUGUAGAAGACCAAUGCCUUCUUGAAUCCAACCAAACUGCCAUUGUGCUUAACAGGUUUAUCAGCUCCUGUGGCCUUCCAGUACCCAUCUGCAGCAGCUCGAUUGGGUCUUAGACCAUUUCGAUAUUUUCUAUCUCUUGGUGUAAGGAAAUAACAUUCCAUUUCACCAAGUGACUUGUACCUUUCUGUAAAUCAUUGCAUCAGUGGACAGAAUAAAAGAAAUUUCAUAAAGAUAUCAUGAAACAAAAAAAAUGUAGACAAACUAAUACGAAAGAAAUAACAUAUUAUAAACGUUUUCAAUAUGAGGGGAUUAAAUUUUAUAUGCUGAUUUACAACACCAUCUAAAUCUAAAAUCAUACCUGAUGUAAAAUCGCAUCACAUUAAAAUAUACACUGUAAUAUUAUAUAUGUAAUGGCAUAAACAUCUAUCGUGAAAAAGAGUAGAGAAGCCACAAAUAUCCCAAGCGAAGACUACAAAAUUUGAAUAAUAAAGAGUAGAGAAGCCACUAACGAGACUCAGAAAAUUUCCAUUCUAAUAAAUAAUAAUCUCGAGAAAUAAGGAAUAAACAGAUUUUUUUAUAAAAAAAAUUAAUCAUAUAUGAUGCGUGCCAAUAAAACAACAUACAACACAGAAAUUGAGAAAAUAAGAAAUUAAAAGUGACUUUUUUUUCCCCUAACCUGUAAGUGUGUUAGGAUUAAACCUAUACAACUCCACCACCUUGAUCUGGUUUGGAGGCAAUGGCUGAUUCAGUAUCUUCCUCCGCAAGUAAUAAACCACAAGUUCUCCAUCGUGGGGUUUGAAUCGGUAACCAGGCGGGAAUGAAUCAAAAUAAGAAUCAUCAGCGAUCAGAUGAUGACCAGUACUCUUCACAGGAUGCCGUACAAGUGAAGCAUCAUCAUUUUGCUUUUUAGGGCUUUCUCCAUUAGGGUUUUCUCCACAAGGGUUUUGACCAUUAGGGUUUUUCCCUUCAUCCCCCAGCUGCUCCUUCUGUUUUUGGUCCUUCAUGCAGGACGUAGGAAAAUGAUGCAGAUGAAAAAUGGACCAAAUAGAAGUGAUAGCUAGCUACUUUGUUCGUUGUGAUAAGAUUUAUGUGACUUCAUACAAAUAUUUUGGGACAUCAGGUAGCUAUUAUUUCUAAUUUGAUUAAUUGAAGUUUUACUUUUGUGUUUAUCAAAUAAGUGUAAAGUUAUCUUUUUGCCACGUGUAAAUGAUGCUGGAGCCUAAGAUGUCGGGGAAACGUGGCGGUGAAUUUCAGUUGAUGGAGCUAAUUUGGAGGAGUCAAUAUCUGUCAACACAUUUAAAGGUAAAGUUUAAUUUCAAAACAUUAAANNNNNNNNNNNNNNNNNNNNNNNNNNNNNNNNNNNNNNNNNNNNNNNNNNNNNNNNNNNNNNNNNNNNNNNNNNNNNNNNNNNNNNNNNNNNNNNNNNNNUAUGUAAAUAUGACAGCUCAAACUAUUCCGAAAUUGUUUUGCUCUUUAUAUUCAUAUCAUCUUGCUAAAACUUUACUAUCAUUUAACAGUAAUUAACGAUGAGCACCAUUGAAUUUAGUUAGAUCAAAUUGUAGGCUAAAUUGAAGUUCUCAAAAUUCAUAUAAACAGAUUAUAUCUAGACACAAUAUGUAAAAAGCUAGCGUGGUUGUGCAACUCAAGAUCCAAUUGAAGUCAAAGGUUUCAAUUUAUAAGAUUCAUUAUGUCUCCUCAUGAAUCAUGACCAAGUAAAUAAUUCUUCUUUUUUAGUUAAAAUUUUCGUAUUGUCAAGAUUACUAGAAAGAAAAGUGAAGAAAUAUAUAUAUAUAUAUUAAGACUUGUUGUUUUAAUCUUAAGAUAAUCAUGUUUACUCUCCGCGAUUAUAAAAGUCAAUAAGUAGCACUAACAUGAAGGAAGUAAAGAUCUCAAGGGCGUUGUUGAAUAGUUUAAAGAUUGGGACCAAUUAAUAACAGGCAUAAACUUGGAUUUAAUUCAAAUAAUAUGUGGGCUCCCGAACCCACGUGGGCCAGUCAAUUUAUAAAGGACUAGGAUCAUCUCCUGAUCUGAUCUUUAUCUGAGCAAAUUAUAUUAAUAUGAUUGGUGAUUAAUAAAUUAAAAAGAAAAAGUAGUUAAAUCAUAAUAAUCCACUAACAUUAAAAUAUAAAUGGCACAAGAUUUGUAAAAUAUUAGGAGUGCUCAGAUCAGAAGAGUAUCAUGGUCCAUUUAGAAAACUUUAGAAUCGUUUAAACAUUGGGUGAGACUAUUGGCACACCUGUUAAUCCUCUUAAAACCCUUAUUCCAACAAAAUUACAAUUAAAGAUAAAUAUAAAUAAAAUUAAUCGCACUUAUAUUUUUCUCUCUCUUGAAUCUAUUUUUAAAAAAUAAAAUUUGAGAGUAUAAUCAACUCUUAAAAAUAACAUCUGGUAAUAUCUUGAACAUCUUUAAACACUAAUUAAAUCCUCAUUUAAUUACCGAACUUAAAACUUAUACCUAAGUUGAAUCAUUUUAUUGUAGCUCAAGAAUAACUAAUAGAGCUCAGUUCUAUUUCCUUUAUGACCCAUAACUAAUUAAAUCACAUUUGCUUCUGCUUAUUUAUCUUACAUUUUUUUAGUUUGGUCUAUAUAAUUGAUUUGCACAAACUCAAAAUAUUAGUAUUUUCUUUUUCUUUCUUUUUUCAUGUUAGUUACUAUUAUUUUUUUGGAGUUAACAUUUUUUGAAUUUUAUUGAGAGAAGGUUUGGAAAAAGGGGUUUAUUAAAAAAAGAUUUUUUAGCAUCAAAUAGAAUAUAUAAUAGACUCUAGUCAAAUUAAUACUCGAUAAAUUGAUAACCUCAACUAAAUAAUAGUUUUUGUCAAUUUCGAAUUGGAGCUAAUGUGGUAAAUUAAUAAAUUGAUAAAUAUAUUAGAUAAUAAAUUUAAAAAAUUUAUUUUUGUAUAGGACCCAAUUAAUAAUUAAUUAAUUUGAAAGUAAAUAUAUAUGAUAUGUUUAUGAUUUUCUUUGUUGUAUUGGCAUAAUAUUUUACGCAUUUCAUUGGUCAAAAUUAUUUUCUUUACACCUUUCAGAUGAGAAGCCAUUGUUGUAUUCUAUGUGUUAUGUUAACAUAAGUAAGAUAGAGAUAAGUUUAAUAUAUUGCCUCAGAAAAGUCUUCUCUAAUGAGUUGCAAAGUAAUCGUGAUCUAGCCAAGUGACUGAUUCACUCAGUCAAAAUCAAAUCAGAAUUGUAUCAUACAGAUACAGUUUGAUAGAAUCACUAUAUUAUCGAAUUAUACUAUUCCUAAACUUCAUAAAAAUUUCUAUUAUGAACGUGAUAUUAUUUUUAUAAAUUAAUAAUUAUUAAUUUAUCGAUAUAUUAAUAUUCACUAAAUUAAUAGACUUUCCAUGAUCCAAAUAUUACUAAUUUAUCAAAUAUUUAUUGUAAAUAAAAAAAAGGAUUUGAAGGGGCGCCAAUGGCUCAACUCUUAGACAUGAAUUGCAAGUAUAAAAGCUAAUUAUUUUCUUUAUUUGCUUAAACUUUUUUCUUUUGGUAGUCCAUGAGUAGGUGUCAAAUUGGUAAGAUUAAUUACACAUACUCUAAUUAUCUUAAGGUGGUAGUACUCCUAAUUAUUGUAUCACUUUUUUUGAAUUUAUGAGAAGGAUUAGUUAAACAUUUCACCCAAAAAGUUAAGCUAUUAAGUAAAGAUUUAACAUUAUUAGUAAAGAAAAGUUUAAAGUUUUAAUAACUUUUCCUCACAUGAAGUCCAUGCGUGCAUAAUCUAUUUUAGACAUAAAGACAUAGUAAGAAAUAGAUGUCUACAGUUAAACUAUCAUGAUUGUUGUCAACUAUUUUUUGGUGUAACAAUUGAUAUCUCUCCAUCUUUUUUGCUUUUUUUCUUUUCUUUUUUUCACAUCGAGCAUUUGAAUCUUCCCAUAUGUAUUAUAAGAGUAAAAUCUGUUUCAAUUUAAGAAUAACCCUCUUAUUUUUAGGGAUGUUCGAGAAUCGAAUUUUGCGGAUUGAACAUCAAUUUAUAUCUGAUUUAUGAUUUUGGAGAUUAUAAGUUUUCAAUCCAAUCCAAUUCACGUAUUGCCGAAAUUCAAUCCAAAUUUAGUCUAUACGUCAACAGAUCGGAUGCGAAUUUGACCCAAUCCAUAUCUAAUCCACCAUUUUACAAAUUGAUUUUGCAGACUAAAUAUUUUUAAUUUUGUCCAAUCCACAUAAAAUAAAAAAAUUAAUAUAUAAAUAAUUUUACUACUGACCAAAUUCAAAAAUCAAUAAGAUUUAAUCAAAUUAUUUAUUAAAAAAACUAGAAAAUACAUUCAAAAUUUCAAAAUUUCAAAAUAUUCAAAUAUAGCACACCUAAAAGAAAAAAUAUCAUUUGUUUAAAUACAUUAAAAUUAACUAAAAUUAUGAAAAUUAACUAUUUAGAAAACUAUAUUUGUUUAUUUAAUUAUUUUUAUUUUAUAUUAUUAUUGGAUAAGAUAUAAUAUGGUGUUAAUGUAAUUAUAUUUUAACUUAUUUAUUUAUUAGUAAGCACUAAUGCCGCAUUUAUAAGUUUUUUUUUAAUUAAAUAAGUUUUUUUUUUUUUUUUUGCGGAUCGUGGAUUUUUGUAGAUUAUAGAAGUAAAUCUAUAUUCAAUUCACCAACUAUAGAUUUUUCAAUUUUCAAUCUAAUCCAAUGCAUCAAUUCACAGAUUAAAUUUUUAUUGAUCAAAUUUUUAAGGAUCAAACAAAUUGAAUUUUGAACACUACUACACAUUUUCUUAAGCAUAUUUUGGGACUAUUCUAAGUACGGAAACUGCUCCAAAGUCAUCCUAUUCACAUAGGGUUGAGCCCAUCCGGUCAGUAGAUGCGGAAACUAUGUAGACUGUAGAGUGGUCAAAAGGCACCCAUCAGCCAAAAUUUCAACGUGUUAAUAAACCAUGCUUAGGGCUGUCACUUGUGUGACAUGCAUAAAUCCGCAUUUUCGCAGUUUCUUUUCACUAAUUUCAGUCUUUGCCAUCUGUUUCCCGCUCUUGCUCUUUGCCCCACAAGUGCUAGCCUAAUCCUUGACUCUAACUCUUCCCCAUCAUCUAUCGUAUCUCUUAAAAUUUUCAUUUUUCUUUUUCCAAAUGGCAAAUCGCUUCUUUCUUUUCGUCUCUAUAAAAAUCCAAAACUAUAACAAAAUUUUAAAUAUCGCACAAUGGCUGCGGCUAAAUCACUAGUAGUGCUGAUAAUGCUGUCUGCUUUAUUAUCUAACUCUUUUGUGUUAGUUUUACCAGCUAGUAAUUUUUAUCAAGAUUUUGACAUCAUAUGGGGAAUUGACAAGGUCAGGAUUCGCAACGAUGGAGAAGUCCUCAAUCUUUACCUUGGCAAAGACACAGGCUCAGGUUUCCAGUCCAAGAAUGAGUAUCUAUUUGGCAAAAUUGACAUGCAAUUCAAGCUUGUCCCAGGCAACUCUGCUGGCACUGUCACAUCUUACUAUGUAAGGCGUAAGCUGCCAGUGAUCUUGCACGAAAAUGUUUUUCUCUUUAAGAGUAAGCUUAUUUUUAAUUCUGUGUUAUAGUUGUCAUCACAAGGAUCAACAUGGGAUGAGAUAGACUUUGAGUUCUUGGGAAAUCUCAGUGGCGAUCCUUAUAUUUUUCACACAAAUGUAAUCACACAAGGCAAAGGUGACAGAGAGCAGCAAUUUUAUCCCUGGUUUGAUCCCACUUCAGAUUUUCACACAUAUUCCAUUCUCUGGAAUCCCAAAACCAUCGUGUAAGAAUUUCAAUCCACUAAUCAUCUCUUGUUGAAAACAAGCAACAAUUCAAGUCACUAAUUAAUCCUCUUCUUUUUUUUAUUAGACGUGUCUCUUUUUUUUGGUUUAAUACUUCAUAUAUUCUUUGGGCUCUUUUGGGUUAAAAAGGCUCUCUAACAUUUUUGUUUAAAAACGUUUUCAGAUUCUAUGUCGAUGGCACACCGAUUAGAGAGUUCAAGAACUUGGAGUCAAUCAACAUUCCUUACCCAAAAAACCAACCAAUGAGAAUACACUCGAGUCUCUGGAACGCUGAUGACUGGGCAACAAGAGGCGGUCUUGUCAAAACAGAUUGGACAAAAGCUCCAUUUACAGCUUCUUGUAGAAACUUUAAUGCCAAAACUUGCAUUCGUUACCCAGCAGGUCCAAUCAUUUCUGCGCCUUGCCCUUCGAAUUCUUCAUCCUCUGCAUGGAUGAAGAUCGAUGAGCUUGAUGAAACAAGCAGAGAGAAACUCAAGUGGGUGCAGAAGAAUUACAUGAUUUAUAAUUAUUGUACAGACACAAAGCGCUUCCCAAAAGGGCUUCCUCUUGAGUGUGCUGUGGCCACGAGUGCUUACGUAGAUUCCGCGCGAGUAUAAACAUAUAUAUAAUGACAAUACUUUAUAUCAUAAAUUUGCUAUAGUUAUACAUUACUGCGAUGUUUACUUAUGUUUACUUUCUUGAUUGGAGAAUCGAAAUUAUUAAUAGCAUUUACUUUACAAAAUAAGCAUCAAAAUGAAAGACUAAAAUAAGCAUGAAAAUGCGAGACUAAUUCUCAACGAUCGAUUUUUGGUACUCUUGACUCAUUUCACUCACAAGACCAAAAACUGGGGGACUGGUGUUAAGCAAAUAAAAGCACCAGGUCGGCCAUGCUACUAUUUCCACCCCGGCAUGAAUCACCUCAGCCAAAUGGUACGAGCAGAACAGGGGGUAACAUGAGCUGAUCAGAGACGAAUACCGACCAGAGUCGUAUACCGAGUCGGUACCCGUCCCUCAAAAAGCGGAAACACGAUCCCACAGAAUCGCGGUAGUUGCGCUUUUCCCAGAACCGUUGUGGGAGAUGCGAGAUCCCACGUUUGCCCACAAUGUAGCAGUUAAAAUCCCAUGAGGGGCUGCCACUACCCGAAAAAGGUGGGAUGAAUGGCAAACGGAAACGUGGGGACAACGGCUAUAAAAGAAGAAGAAAUCGGUGAAGAAAGGGGAAAAAAAGAGAGAGAGGGAAAACGCUGCCAAAUUGCAACUAGGCCAUUUCCUUACAAAUUUUUAAUAAGCUCCUGGAAUCCAAAUUACACUGUUUUCCCGUAAACACCUUGUGCUAACUUAGGCAUCGGAGGGUUUACGCCGGCAAAACCACCGGCGUCUCUGAUCCAUUUUUAGUGAGUGCAGGUCUAUUGAGAGAAAGGAGGACGAUUCCAAUCCCAGUGAACGAGCAACAGUAGAUAACACAAACGUUGGUGAAAGAAUCUGGUCGGUCAAGAGGCGAGCAGAUUUCAGCAUCAACACCUUCAUUCAAUUAAAAAAAUUUAAAUAGAAAAAAAAACCACAGCAAACAGUCGCUGUAAAUUGAAGCCUCACCGAUUUUCAUCGUCUUCACCAAACUGUUACUGCAAAAAUCAACGUCAUUGGUCGUCGCUGACCGUUGAGCAGGAGCAAUAGCAACAACGAUCUAGCAACAACAACCAUCACCGAUGAUGAUGUCGACAACGACGAUGAUAUUAUGAUCCAAAUCCGAUUUUGAUUUGUUGUUGUCGUUGAUGAUGAUGAUUUUGAUUAUUAUUAUUGUUAUUAUGAUUUUCAAAUGUAUUAUUAUCAUUAUUAUUGAUAAAAAAAUAUUAUAAUUAAUAUAUUCAUGUUAAUGAUAUUAUUAUUAUUAUUAACAAUAAUUAAUAAUAAUAAUUUCUGAAUAACAAUAAUUACAUUAAUUAAAAUAUAAAAUAAUAAUUAUGAUAAUAAUUAAUUAAAAACUUUUUAGUAAUUUAUGACAGUCUAAUUUAUUAUGACUAAGAUUUCAAGACAAACUAAACACAUCAAUGAUAAUACAAUUUAUUCUAAUUUUGAUUUCUACAGUUAAAGUAAAUAAUGUAGUUUAUUUCAUGCUCAAACUUUAUGUUGUAAUAUCAAAAUAAAGUUAUAAUAAUAGUAUUGAUGUUGUAUCAGUUAUCAUAUGAAUUAAGAUGCGAAUAUGCUAGAAAGGGAUCACGUUGAUAUGGUCUGUGAGAACUUUAGAUGAGUAAAGCUCAAUCUUUUAAGUCUUUUUACAUUAAGUAUAUUGAAUUUAUAAUAAAUCACAUCUGCAUCUUUCCAAUAAAAUUCGUAUUAUAACACUUCUGAUAUAAAGAAUGACAAAUCUGUCUUUUUAUUGAUGACCAAGACUGCAAAGAAUAGCUCUACAGAGAGCAUAUAAUUGAAUGUAAUAAGUUUACACUGAUUUAUCUGUUUGAUUUAAUCACUUCUUUAGGAGAUUUUUUCUUUUCAAAGGAAGGCCUUGAGGAAAUCUCUUUGCGUCGGUGCAGUAGUUGUAAAUCAUGUAUGUCUUUUGUACCCAUUUCAGCCUUUCUUAACUUGUUGAAUCAAGCUCUUGUGAGAACCAGGAGCAGCCGUUGGAUAUAUGGAGAGGAAGGUGAACUUGAAGCACAAGAAGAUAUUCCAUUAGACGAGACACAUGCAUCAGCAUUGAAGUUUCUAUAAGAAGCGGCGAAAGGAGCAUGUGUCCAUUGUGUCUUGAUAAGGCCACCUCUUGUAGCCUAGUCAUCAGCAUUCCGUAGAGAAGAGUACAUCCUCAUUGGUUGAUUCUUUAGAAAUGGCACUCCAAUUGAUUCUGAGUUCUUGAAUUCUCUUAUGGGGGUGCCAUCAACAGAGAAGCUGGAAAUUACAAUGAAAAAAGUUAUAAGUCUAAGCAAAUUAACGACAGGGAAAAAAACAGUACUUACACAAUGCGCUGAGGAUUCCAGAGGAUGGAAUAGGUAUGAAAAUCGGCAGUAAGGUCAAACCAGAGGUGAAAUUGUUGCUCUCUGUCACCUUUGCCAUUUGUGAAUACAUUGGUGUGCAGAGUGUAAGGGUCACCACUUAAAUUGCCCAAGAAUUCAAAGUCUAUCUCCCCGAGUAUUAUCAAAAUCUUGGUAGAAGUUAGCAGAAGAAGCUACAAUUAGAGAGAAAAUCACAAAACUGACCAUCAACAUGGACGGAAUAUAUGAAGAAACUAGAAAGCAAGCCACUGGAAUGUUUUGCAUGUGAAUAGUAUUAGAAAUGUAAAAGAAUCUGAAAUGAUGAAAAGGUUGUGCUUAGUUGGUGUUUUUAUCCUAUAAGUUUAGGCAGAGUUGAACGGAGAGAAGAUACACGGGAAACUUCAGUACGUUUUGGUAAUAGUUGGCAAAGUAAUGUAGCAAAUGACUGUUCAUUAAAAUGGCGCAGACCAAGUUUUCCAGACGCGGUUUUGCUUGAUUUGUUAAUUGUUUAUAAAGAAAGGGAAGACAAGGCGCCGCCUAGUUCCCUUUUCAAAACAAACAUUCAUUUUACAUACAGUUAGGUCCAAGUGAAUGGCAAGCGAAACCCACCACCGUCUCGCGUGUUAGACAACGCCAGUAACAUAAAAUUUGAGUAAUGUCAUGCGGUUAUUGCCAACCCAAUUCGGAUAUUUAGUUUGUCUCCUCCUUAAUAUUACAUUUUAUGUAUCAUUUAUUAAUUAGGUUGAUAACAAAUAAUUAAUAAUAAAAUAAAUAUUAUAUACAUGACAAUAAAAGAUUAAUUUUGGAGUUACUAAAUUAAGAAUUCAAACAGAAUAAAUAUAACAUAAUUGUCACUUGGGUGAACACUGAAUUGCUAGUGAGGAGAAUUUUCAAUUCUGGAAUUUCUUAAUAAGUUCUAUGUUAUUCUUAGUAUUAUUAUAAUAUUAUUCAUUUGCUCUUGCCUUGAGAAUCAAUUAAUAAAAAAAGCUGAAAAUCUGAAGAGAGGGUCGCAUCAUGUGAAUUCAACUGUCUUUAGUAGUGGCGGUGGGAAAAUCUAAUAAGAGUCAGCUGGUAGUGGGACCACGACAGCGGCACAUACUAAACUAAACGGAAGUCGUUUGGUCCCAAAAAUAAUGCAAAAACCGCGUGCUAUAAUAAAAUAUGGCUGGUCGGAUAAUGCUUGUUAGUGCGAUAUGCACAGCUAUUUUAUUAUACUUUUUUCAAGCCAACAACUGUCCACAGCCGAGCUCACUGGACCUUUCCCUUCACUUUCCUCUGCAUUUUACAUUUCCCAUCUUCACCGGCUAUAAAUACAACACAAUGGUCUUAAACACAUUCAUCGCUCCACUUUCGAAUUACAAACUUCUCUCAGUUAAUUCAAACACUACUUGUACCUCGUUUGCUCAAGCAUAUGUCAAUGGCUUCAACGUUGCAUUUGUUUCUUGUGCUUGGCUCUUUGAUGGUUGCAUCUGCUGGUAACUUCUACAAAGAUUUUGACAUCACCUGGGGAGAUGGCCGUGCCAAGAUGCUCAACAAUGGCGACCUUCUUACUCUUUCCCUCGAUAAAGCUUCUGGCUCAGGAUUCCAGUCCAAGAAUGAGUAUCUAUACGGCAAGAUUGACAUGCAGCUCAAGCUUGUCCCAGGCAACUCUGCUGGCACUGUCACUGCUUAUUACGUAAGUUCCUUCUUUUAAUACAACUUAAUCAUACGCAAGUAUUAUGCAUGCAAACUGGGUCGUAGUUGAAUAAUCAUAUGUGAUGAUACAUAUAAAUAUCUGUUUUUUUUUUUUUUUAAUGCAGCUAAAAUCACCGGGAUCAACAUGGGAUGAGAUAGACUUUGAAUUCUUGGGAAAUUUAAGUGGUGACCCUUACACUCUUCAUACCAAUGUCUUUACAAAUGGCAAAGGUGACAGAGAGCAACAAUUUCACCUCUGGUUUGACCCCGCUGCUGACUUUCACACCUAUUCUAUCCUCUGGAAUCCUCAGCGCAUUGUGUAAGUAAUAUUUUCCUUCAAUCUCCAUCAUUAGUUUUUUUUCCUUGUCAUUCAAUCUGCUUAGACUUAUCAAUGUUUACUUAAUUUUCAGCUUCUCUGUUGAUGGCACGCCCAUAAGAGAAUUUAAGAACUCAGAGUCAAUUGGCGUUCCGUUCCCAAAGAAUCAGCCAAUGAGAAUAUACUCUUCUCUCUGGAAUGCUGAUGACUGGGCCACAAGAGGUGGCCUCGUGAAGACAGAUUGGACGCAUGCUCCUUUCACUGCUUCCUACAGAAACUUUAAUGCUGAAGCUUGUGUUUGGUCUAAUGGAAAAUCUUCUUGCGCUUCAAAUUCUGCUUCCUCUACAUCCAGCAACGGUGCUUGGUUCUCACAAGAGCUAGAUUCAACAAAUCAAAAUAGGCUGAAAUGGGUGCAGAAGAAUUACAUGAUUUACAAUUACUGCACUGAUACAAAGAGAUUUCCUCAGGGCCUUCCUGCAGAAUGCAGAAUCUCCUAGAGAAAAUAAUCAACAAGACACUUAAAAAUUAUUUUAUUCUUUCGUGUAAUCAUUCAAUGGUUAUUCAAUUCAUGUAGAUUCUGGAGUCAGAUUCUUUGUUUCUCUGUAAUCAAUAAAAUGGCAUGUUAGUCCAAUUUUUACCAUAUGUAACACUGGUUAAUGAAUUUAAAAAAGGAUAAUGUUAUGCGUACUUGCGUGGUAUACAAAUUAAGUAUGCUAACUAAGUAAACAUAAUAUUACUAUUUCAAAAGAUUUUGUUCUUCUUUGUUGUUAUUCUUCGUAAGCUUUAGCAUAUAGUUAUAAGCCUAAUUAAAGGUAUUGACAUGAUGACUCAUUAAUAAAGCUUUUAGACCCUAGAUUGGAAUAUGAAGAAUUAUCGAGGAAGCAUGAAGAUAAGAGCAAAUGAGUCUCCACCAGAAUGAGAAGAAAAUAUACUGCGUGUGAGCGUUACCGUAUUUGUGUCAAUCGAGGAGAAAUUUUGGCCAUUGAUUAGUAUUUAGAUAAGGCAGUAAAAGGGUAAAAUGGCAGAAAUAAACUAAAAAAAUAACUGAGUGAACUUGCACAAGUCGAUGAGGAAGAGUGAUGCAUACUGUUAUUGUUGUACGUGUUAAUUAAUAAUGAGAGGGGGACAAGCUGCGAGCCAGCUCUCAAGUGUUGAUUUUUCAAGGCGAGUCAACCCCGCCAGGACACCACCGCCUUUCCAGAUAAACAAAUUAAACAUUCUCUAGUAUAAGUGGUAAUAUACAAAACAGGAAACAGGGCUUUUGUACACAGCAAAAUCUUCAGUCCGUUCGAUUUAAAUACCAAUAUCUAUAAAUUCCUUAAUAAUAAUAAUAAUAAUAAGCAUAUCUUCAAGUUCUAUAUGUGUUUUAUUACACACGAACCCACCAGGAAGCAUGUGUUAUCAAUUAACCUAAAAUUUGGAAACAAAUUCACAGUUUCAUGUUACUAGGAAGCAUGUGUAUCGGUAUCUUGGGAUACAUAUUUCUUAGAUGUUAGAUCCAUGAUUAGUGUUAGGGACUCCAGUAAAGACUUGUCUUUAAUUUUCUUGGGUCAAGCCAAUUUCGUUUUUACAUAGCAAAGGUUUCUUGUUCAAAUCUCAGCGUGCUCAAUUUUUUGCGAAUAACACACGUAUAUGUUUCAAUUCUUGUAUGUUCAAGAACCUCUAAUUUAAUCUCCUAUCUCCGCUUUUGGAACGACAUGACCUUCAAACUGGAUCCAUGUUUCACAUGGGCAGGUCUUUUAACACUUUAAUGCUAUUUUCUGGACUCCUGUUUAACGUCUUAAGCUUUUGAAUUAAAUGAUUUCCUGAUAAUAAAUAUAGUUAUCGAAAAAAUCUGUUAAUUAAGUAGGUCAUUGAGCAAUUUUUUCUUUUUCUUUUUCUUUUGAGCAUAAAAUGCAAAAAAAAAAAAAAUGAAAAUCUCGAGAGAGAAGAGUACCCAGUGAAUUCUACAUUUUCUUUUUUGUGUUUUGACUGGUGGUGGCUGGAAAAAAAAAAAGCUAAUAAGAGUCAGCCGGUGAUGGGAACAUAACAGCAGUACAGAAUAAGUACUUGAGUCUCAAAAAUAUGCAAAGCCGCGUAUUGUAAUUAAAAAAAGUCCCUGUUGUAGCGUGUUCUGUUAGUGCGAUUCGGACAGCUGUUUUUAUUUCAUCACGCUAUUUUACGCAAACAACUGGCCACAGCUGAAGCUGAACUAACUGGAGCUUCCCAUUACUUUCCUCUGCUUUCGUUAUACUCACCUUCACCAGCUCAAUCAAGCUAUAAAUACCAAACCCUGGUAAGGUCCUAAACACACUCAUCGCUUCACUUUAAAAAAUUUCAAACUUCUCUCCAACUCAAUUUCUUCUAUCUUGUUGUUGCUCAGACGAAAGCUUCCAUGGCUUCAGUAUUGCAUCUGUCGCUGCUGCUUCUUGGCUCUUUGAUGGUUACCUCUGCUGGUAACUUCCACCAAGAUUUUGAUAUCACUUGGGGAGACGGGCGUGCUAAUAUACUCAACAACGGCCAGCUUCUUACUCUUUCCCUUGAUAAAGCCUCUGGCUCCGGCUUCCAGUCCAAGAAUGAGUAUCUAUUCGGCAAGAUUGAUAUGCAACUCAAACUAGUCCCUGGCAACUCUGCCGGCACUGUCACUGCUUAUUAUGUAAGUUCCUGCCUUUAUAUGAAUAAACAAUAUGCAUGUUUGAUCAUCACCCUUUAUAUGAAUAAACAAUAUGCAUGUUUGAUCAUCAUGUAUCUGACAUAUAGACCUUUGACUUUUUGUUCACGCAGUUAAAAUCGCCAGGAUCAACAUGGGAUGAGAUAGACUUCGAGUUCUUGGGGAAUUUAAGUGGUGACCCUUACACUCUGCAUACCAAUGUAUUCACAAAUGGCAAAGGUGACAAAGAACAACAAUUUCACCUCUGGUUUGACCCCACUGCUGACUUUCACACCUAUUCUAUCCUCUGGAAUCCUCAGCGCAUUGUGUAAGCAAUAUUUUCCUUCAAUCUCCAUCAUUUCUUCUUUCCUUGUCAUUCAAUCUGCUUAGACUUAUCAAUGUUUACUUAAUUUUCAGCUUCUCUGUGGAUGGUACUCCCAUAAGAGAGUUCAAGAACUCAGAGUCAAUUGGAGUUGCAUUCCCAAAGAAUCAGCCAAUGAGAAUAUACUCAUCUCUCUGGAAUGCUGAUGACUGGGCUACAAGAGGUGGCCUUGUCAAGACAGAUUGGACGCAUGCUCCCUUCACGGCUUCCUACAGAAACUUCAACGCUGAUGCCUGUGUCUGGUCUAAUGGAAAAUCUUCUUGCGCUUCAAGUUCACCUUCCUCUCCAUCCAGCAGCAGUGCCUGGUUCUCACAAGAGCUUGAUUCAACAAGUCAAGAAAGGCUGAAAUGGGUGCAGAAGAAUUACAUGAUUUACAAUUAUUGCGCUGAUGCAAAGAGAUUUCCCCAGGGACUCCCUGCAGAAUGCAGAACCUCUUAGAAGUUUUGCAAAAUCAACACAUACAUCAAAAAAAUUUAUUCUUUUUGUCAAUUCUUUGAUUCUUUGUUGUAUUUUGUCGUCAAUAAAAUGGCAAAUUAGUCCAACUUUCUCAAUGUAAUACAAAAUUUAGCAUAUAAAUAUCAUGAGAUUAUGUUCUCUACUCUUCGCAUGCUUGCUAUAUGUUCUUCUUUGGCUAGGUUUUAACGUAGAAACGACCAAACCUCUUCACAUAUGCAAUGGUACUCUAAAUUUUUGACUGACUUAACGGGUAAGGACUAGCAAAAUAUUCUAUUGCCAUUAAAACGACUUCUCUCAUUUGGGACUUUUAUCAAACAUCUUGCAAGCAAACGAUUAAAAUUCACCGACACCCACUCCGAGAUUUUUUUUUUAAUGUCCUGUUAAAAUAGUACACCCAACAGUAACAUGACAAUAAAAAGAUAAAUCAAGAACAAAUACAAUCACAAUUGUAUCCAGUUAUUUAAUUCUUAUAUUCAUCUUUGAUUCUUUCAUGUAGUAUUCAUGCAUGUUCACACACAAAUUAGGAUCCAAGCUUUAUGGCAUUUGGGGAUUGAGCAUCUUCUUGAUUGGGGGGGGUGGAAUGGUUAAUGCACUAAUAAAUUGUAACUUAGUUUAUCACGUUUUAUUAGGUAGGAUCCAAAAAAAUGAACAUUGAUUUGAUGAGUAAUGAUACACUUAUAAAAUUCAGAUGUAAAGUUUAUAUAGUAAAUAAUGUGAUAUUUGAUAUAUCAUUCAUUUAUUAAUGUUUGAUCCUAUUAAAAAAUUAACUUUAUAAAUGUGUCAUUACUCUGAUUUUAUUACGUGUUUAGUAAUUGUUUAAUGUUAAAAAAAAACACUUAAGUAAAACCAUAUUUGUUGUUCGAUUGAAAAAUAAACAGGCUGUUAGUUUAGUAUUAUCAUUACAAUAAAUUAACACAAAAAAUGGUGAGACACAUUUGACAUAAAGCAUUGGAUUCCAUAUGGUGGGACUCAUAACUCAUUUGAACCUUUUUUUUUUUUGUUUUUUAAUUCCUUAUACAUUCUCAGAAACAUGUACAUAUAUUUAUUACUUUUUCAUCUUACGAUAAUAAGGCUAAUAUUUAUCAUCCAUUCAACAAAUUACAGAAUCCUCAAUUUUAUAUUCAACACUCAAAUAAUUGAAGCAUUCCAUAUUUUGUUCGCAAAUGAAAAGGUGAUAAAAUUUUUCGAUCGUCCUAAUACUAGAGUCUAGAGCCAUUCUCCAAUAGUAAAAGAAAUGACAAAAAUAUUUGGAAAACAAACAGAAAGGUUUAAUUAUUUUAAUAACUUUGUUGUCUGUUGAAAUUAUGUAGUUAUAUCUACAAGAUUCUAAAUUAUUCACACACAGCAUAAAAAUAUAAAAAUUGAAACGAUAAUUGCUUAUUUUAUUCUCUGACGAAAAAUUGAAAAUGAAAAAAAUGAUAAAUAAGGAGAAAGUCUUAAGUAUUCUUGACAAAUUACUCCCUACUCAAUUAUUCAACUUUAAUUGUGUUUGAACAUUUUCAUGAUUUUUUUUUAAUUAAAAUUUUGUCGGCAUCCACUGCUGUGGAAUUAAUUUAUUACUUGUAUGUAUAAUAUAUGAAUCAUUUAAUAAACCAAGCAAGACGAUUUCUAAUUUUAUUUUAACACAUAUGUAAAGCAGCAAAAAGAUAUAAUAAUAUUCAAAAUGGAAGUUUAAAAUAAUCAUGGCAUUAAAUAGACUUAAGCCAUAAUUAAUUAUAUCGGUUAUAGAUUAAUUAAUCACUUCAUAUUGUUUUGGAUUCAAAUGGUAAUUAAGCAAGUAUAUUUCCCCCUGUUUAGUCUAACAUGCAUUUUAUCUAGCAGUCGUCGCUUUAUAAUAAACAAUAUUAUCGUUUUAACUUAAUUAAUUAACGUCUUAUUCUUUAUACAAAAAUAAUGGACAAAUUGAAACCGGUCAGCAUCAUCAAAGAAUUUAAAAAAAGAAAAGGAAAAAAGAUAAGAGCUUGGUGACUUAUGAUCAGCAAUCAAGCUAUACUCCAUUAUUGAAAAAGAAACUGGUCUAACAACAUUCAAUUACACUCCUGAACAGAAAGAGAAAGAUAUAAGAGAGAGAGAGAGAGAGAGAUUAAAGAUGCGCUAAAUGAAUGGAUCAUCGCCAUUAGAGAUGUAUCCUCACUAUCUUUUCCUGGGAAGUUUAUUUGGAAAGCUAGAAAAUGAAAGGAAAUGAUACAAGAUAUAUAUAUAUAUAUAUAUAUAUAUAUAUAUCUAUCCAUCGUACGUGCUUCACUUUCACUUUCAAGAACUUAUGGACUGAUGUGAAGAGAGCUCCAUGAGGGGGAUUUUAAGGUGUUCCCAAUUUAUCAUCUGCGGUUGAGAAAUGAAAAAUGUAGGGUGCAAACCCCAAUAACCCCGUCUCUAGUGUUUACAGCCCCUCUUUAUUUAUAGGGUUUUACAUCUACAAAUAGAAAAAUUUUAAAAUACAUUAAAGAUAUUAUGUAACUUAUACAACAAGUAAAUAAUAUUAUGGCAUGUGUGUAUUUAUUUUAAAAAAUUAUUAUAUAAAUAGUGAUUAUAUUAAAUUCAAUUACAUAUAUCAUAUAUGUAUUAAUUAUUUGUAAUACAUCAAAAAUAUUCUAAAAUUUCUCCAACAAGUGAUGCUGAUAGCCUUGCAAAUUUUUGUAUGCUUUAAUGCCACGUACUUGCUUCUUAAUUGUGAUAGUUAGAUUGUAAAAAUUUUGGGUUUACAUUUAUUUACUUUAUAAUUAAUUAGCAAAUACUAGUGCAGGCACCCUUGAUAGAUAUUAGAUUGUCAGUUAAUAUGUAGUAACUUUAGGAAACAAAUUUAUGAGGUGGAAUAAGAAAAAAGUUAAAAGAA
This 33054-nucleotide long non-coding RNA is filed under the name Citrus x clementina. RNAcentral describes it as "Citrus clementina (C. clementina) long non-coding RNA (CCLE_LNC006883)". Lineage: Eukaryota; Viridiplantae; Streptophyta; Magnoliopsida; Sapindales; Rutaceae. The record is from RNAcentral.